RNAcentral lists this ribosomal RNA (521 nucleotides) under uncultured bacterium. RNAcentral's name for it is "partial 16S ribosomal RNA". It matches the Rfam family "Bacterial small subunit ribosomal RNA", at positions 28 to 523 of the family's 1533-position model. The record is from RNAcentral.
GACGAACGCUGGCGGCGUGCCUAAUACAUGCAAGACGAGCGGGCCUCCGGAGGUGCUUGCACCUCCGGAAGGCCAGCGGCGGACGGGUGAGUAACACGUGGGCAACCUGCCUUUGAGGCCGGGAUAACACCGGGAAACCGGUGCUAAUACCGGAUACGUCCUCUUUCGCGCCUGCGAGAGGGGAGAAAGACGGUCUUUAAGGCCGUAGCUCAAAGAGGGACCCGCGGGGCAUUAGCUUGUUGGUGGGGUAAGGGCCUACCAAGGCGACGAUGCGUUGCCGCCGUGAGAGGGUGAUCGGACACAAUGGGACUCAGAAACGGCCGAGACUCCUGCGGGAGGCAGCAGUAGGAAAUCAUGCGUAAUGGGCGAAAGCCUGACGGUGCAUCGGCGCGUGAGUGAGGAAGGUUUUCGGAUCGUAAAGCUCUGUUGUGAGGGAAGAACAGCUUCCGGAGGAAAUGCCGGAGGUUUGCCGGUACCUCACGUGAAAGUCCCGGCUAACUACGUGCCAGCCGCCGCAGUAC